Long non-coding RNA from Drosophila virilis, 1027 nucleotides. RefSeq lists it as uncharacterized. NCBI's taxonomy places the organism in Eukaryota, Metazoa, Arthropoda, Insecta, Diptera, Drosophilidae. The record is from RefSeq and is a predicted model, not a curated record.
AAAUCAUUCUGAAAACUAAAGUUAAACGGCACAGACGUGCCAGUGUAUUAAAUUAAAUUGUAUAUCAGUAACGACAUUACAUGGCGACCGUGACAAUGGUCUCACUAACCUGCAGUGAAUAAAAAACAUCCCAAAAACUAGUGGAAAGGCAGCCAAGAAUGCUGGCAACAAACAACAACAAACUUCAACAAAGACAACAGCAACAGCAGAUCCCAUUUACCAUAAUUCUGGCAAAAAAUACAAAGACAGCAGCGAUGGAGGGAUUGCUGUGGACAAUAAAUAAAUAUUUAACUAUCCCAGCAUAUAAGAGACAAUGUCCGGCGGACUGUGAGGGUCCAUUCUACAACAUUGGCUGCGCACUGAUUUGCCAAAUUGACAAGCCGACAGCGCAACAAAGAGCGCAAUAGAGGGCAACAUAUAACCAUCCCGGCCUGUGCGAAGACCAGCACCGGCAACUUGAACGAGGUUCGACAGUGGACCGACAGCGCUACAAAGAGCGCACUACGAAUUUUUAGUUUUAUAUAUAUAUGAUUUUAAAAAAUUGAGCGAGAGCUCGCCCGAUCAGAGUACAUGUUGGAAGGCUGUACAAAAUAUAGGCGGGAAAAAUUGUAAAUUCACCUGCGAGUGAAUAAUAAAAAGAAAAGACAUAUAGCCAAAGGGCAAUAUAAUGGCAAUUCAUGAUAUAGAAAAUACCACAUGCUAAUUAUAUAUAAACCAAAAAUGGGACUAGUAGACUUAAAGACAGUGGAUUCCAUUGCUAAUGUCAUUGAUAAAGUAGAGUCAAGUAACAUGGAUUUACAAUUAGUAAAUAUACUAUUGAUAAUAAUUGUUGUUAUAAUGUGCGCCAAUUGUUUUUAUAAAUUAUACAAGUUGCAUAACAAAUGCUUAAAAAAGAGGUAUAUGAGCCAGGCAAAUGAUCUGGACAAGAUUUAAAUUAAAAAAAAAAGAGCGCAAACAACAUUUGAAAAUAAAAAAUCGAACAAUAAUUCCGUAAUUUACUUUGUAACAUUGAGAAAAUGAAAUAAAA